UGGGGAAUAUUGGACAAUGGGCGGAAGCCUGAUCCAGCAACGCCGCGUGAGGGAUGACGGCCUUCGGGUUGUAAACCUCUUUCAGUACCGACGAAGCGAAAGUGACGGUAGGUACAGAAGAAGGACCGGCCAACUACGUGCCAGCAGCCGCGGUAAUACGUAGGGUCCGAGCGUUGUCCGGAAUUAUUGGGCGUAAAGGGCUCGUAGGCGGUUUGUCGCGUCGGGAGUGAAAACAGCGGGCUUAACUCGUUGCUUGCUUUCGAUACGGGCAGACUAGAGGUAUGCAGGGGAGAAUGGAAUUCCUGGUGUAGCGGUGAAAUGCGCAGAUAUCAGGAGGAACACCGGUGGCGAAGGCGGUUCUCUGGGCAUUACCUGACGCUGAGGAGCGAAAGUGUGGGGAGCGAACAGGAUUAGAUACCCUGAUAGUCCACACCGUAAAACGUUGGGCGNUAGGUGUGGGGUCCAUUUCCACGGGAUUCCUGCCNUGAGCUUAACGCAUUAAAGCGCCCCGCCUGGGGAGUACGGCCGCAGGCUAAAACUCAAAGGAAUUACGGGGU
This 557-nucleotide ribosomal RNA is filed under the name uncultured bacterium. RNAcentral describes it as "partial 16S ribosomal RNA". It matches the Rfam family "Bacterial small subunit ribosomal RNA", at positions 355 to 919 of the family's 1533-position model. The record is from RNAcentral.